This 253-nucleotide ribosomal RNA is filed under the name uncultured bacterium. Its description in RNAcentral is "partial 16S ribosomal RNA". It matches the Rfam family "Bacterial small subunit ribosomal RNA", at positions 524 to 776 of the family's 1533-position model. The record is from RNAcentral.
UACGUAGGGUGCGAGCGUUAAUCGGAAUCACUGGGCGUAAAGGGCGUGUAGGCGGCAUCACAAGUCUGGUUUUAAAGCCUGCGGCUCAACCGCAGAGAUGGACUGGAGACUGUGAAGCUAGACCUCUGGAGAGAGAACUGGAAUUCCUGGUGUAGCGGUGGAAUGCGUAGAUAUCAUGAGGAAUACCAGAGGCGAAGGCGGCUACCUGGACAAUUGCUGACGCUCAGGCACGAAAGCGUGGGGAGCAAAAGGG